This 2200-nucleotide unclassified non-coding RNA is filed under the name Venturia canescens. RNAcentral's name for it is "calcineurin subunit B type 2, transcript variant X1". The record is from RNAcentral. Lineage: Eukaryota; Metazoa; Arthropoda; Insecta; Hymenoptera; Ichneumonidae.
AGAAGCGCGACGACUAAGUUCGAUUUUGUGGGGAGUGUUAGGAAAUCCAAAGUGUGUAUACUAAAAUAUAUGCUAUCCAACACGUUUCCCCCGCAAAAGAGAACGAAGAGUGAAUUUACCAUUUGUAGCACGCAGGCGCUUCUACACAAUACAAAAUACAUAUAUUUAUAUAUCGGUGUGUCUCAGCUAAAAAGAGAGUUUUCAGCCAUUGGAAAAUAUCUCUUGGUUUUUCUCAUCAAUUUGACGUUUUCCACUGGUAUUAUCACACACACCAUCAACGAAAAACUAUCAAAAUGGGAAAUGAAAGCUCCCUGCCCAUGGAACUGUGUUCGAACUUCGACGCGGAUGAAAUUAGGAGGCUGGGUAAACGUUUCAGAAAAUUAGAUUUGGAUAACAGUGGCGCCCUGAGUAUCGAUGAAUUUAUGUCCCUACCGGAGCUCCAACAAAAUCCAUUAGUCCAGCGAGUGAUAGACAUAUUUGACGCGGAUGGCAAUGGCGAGGUAGACUUCAAGGAAUUCAUUCAAGGAGUAUCACAAUUCAGUGUCAAGUCUUCUGCCCAGGGCGACAAGGAGAGCAAAUUAAGAUUCGCUUUUAGAAUUUAUGAUAUGGAUAACGACGGUUUUAUAAGCAACGGCGAACUCUUUCAAGUACUCAAAAUGAUGGUAGGGAACAAUCUUAAGGAUACUCAAUUGCAGCAAAUUGUUGAUAAGACCAUAUUAUUCGCCGACAAAGAUGAGGAUGGUCAAAUAAGCUUUGAAGAAUUUUGUUCUGUGGUCGGCAACACGGAUAUUCACAAGAAGAUGGUAGUCGACGUGUAAUUAAUCAAAUUCUUUAAGCAUGUAAAAAAAAGCGUGAGAGAGAAAAAAACAGCAAAUGCGCCGUUCAACGACGUCCGAGCGGUAAAAAAUUUCUCAAGAUCUUGGAAUCGAAUAAGCAAGAACGGAACAAAAGAAAUUAAGAAAAAAGGAUUUUAAUCGAUGUUUGUGGUCGCCACUUUCGUUACAACUACAGCACAAAAAUUUUUCUCUGAUCGUCUUAUUCUUCGUAGCGUGUGCGCAGUUUCGCUGAAUACUGCCCCUUUCCUAACAACAAAAAGAGAAGAAAAACAGCAAACAAGUGGUUUCUCCAUGUUUCUCCUUUCCACAUCUCUCUUUAUAUAAACCCUGUUGCUUAUUUAUUAUUUAUUCCACGUGAGAAUAUUCGGGAUGAUACUGAACUAGGUACUGUUCAUAUUAUUAUUAUUAUUAUUAUUAUUUCUUUUUUAUAGUUUAUAAUUCGUUAUUACAUUUUUUUUCAUGCAACAACAUGUAAAACAACAGGACUGAAGAGCAAAUGCCUGUAAAAGAUUUUCUUUCUCUUCCCUUCGAUGAGAUUUAGUUGGAUAAUUAUUGUUUUUUGAUCAUCUCAUUCGAUUAUCGAGAAUAUAAUGCUCGUUAGAAAUAAACAGAAGAUAAAGGCGAAACGCAAUGAAAGAUGUGAGUAUCGGUUCGAGGCGUUGAACAAAGUGAAUCGAGCGUAGUCUGCAAUGUUCACCACGUGCAAUUUCCAAUUACAUUCGUCAUUUAUAAUAAACGUUUGCCGUAUUUUUCGCAUCGCUUGAAACUUUGUAUUUUUCCGAUUUUAAAUGAUCAAUAUUUUGGCUGCAAAAUUCGAGUAAUUGAAUCCCUUCUUAGUGAAUAAUGUAUACCGAAGAAUUUAUUCCGUUCCGUACUUUAACGGGAGCGUUAACUUUUCCAUACAUUUUUUUUCUUCGAUGAUCGAGAUAUCAUUGUAAAUGAUUCCGUGAAUGUGUGUGCGUGUGAGAGUGUAAUUCCCUUAUUUUUCUCGUUCUUUCGAAACGUCACGCUAAUUCAGCAUCGUCAGAUGUCAUUGCGCAUACGAAAGUGAUAUUGAUAUUUCACGACUAAAAUUCAAACAAUAGGGAAAUUCAAUAAAACCCAAAAAAAAAUCAACAAAUUCCCCUCCCCCAAAAAAAAAAAAAAAAAGAACAAGAAAUUGCGUGCUAGAAUUGCAGAGUAUUUUAAUUAAGCCACAAAUAUCCGAGCUCCGUUUUUUUAAAUAAUUAAAAAAUUUGAGACCCUUGGAUAUUGUGCUGGCAAACAAUAUAAAAAUAUACAUUUUAACGACCGAGAUUCGGAUCCACCCUUCACAUUAUCGAAAAGCAAAAGACUGAAAUAUUAAACGAGACCUCUGCAACUUU